CUGGGGUUCCCCGGGGAAGGGCACAACUCACUACGUUACCUACAGAUCCUUCAGACUGGCCAGGAGAUCAUGGAACUGGACACCAGUGGCUUUGCCACACAGGGCCCCACGGUUUUUGCUGGAAACAUUGGGGACAAUCGCUACAUUGUCCAAGUGUCACCACUGGGCAUCCGCUUGCUAGAAGGAGGUAGGUGGGCAAGUGUAGGGAAGCGCGUCCUGGGGAGUAUGCUGCAUUGGCCACCCUGUGCUGACCACCCUGUGCCCACAGUGAAUCAGCUGCACUUCAUCCCUGUGGACCUGGGUGCCCCCAUCGUGCAGUGCGCUGUGGCCGACCCCUAUGUGGUCAUCAUGAGCGCCGAGGGCCGUGUUACCAUGUUCCUGCUCAAGAGUGAUUCGUAUGGUGGCCGCCACCACCGCCUUGCACUGCACAAGCCUCCACUGCACCAUGUAGGCCUCACCCUCUGUGUCUGCCAUCCCUGCCUAUGAUCCCCUAUCCCCACUGUCCCCGACCUACACUGGGCUUUGUCUCUCCCUGCAGCAGUCCAAGGUGAUCACACUCUGCCUGUAUCGUGAUGUCAGCGGCAUGUUCACCACCGAGAGCCGCCUGAGUGGGGCCCGUGAUGAGAUGGGGGGCCGCAGUGGUUCAGAGGCCGAAGGACUGGGCUCAGAGACCAGGUGUGCAGGGGGCCAGGGUGCAGGAGACCUGGGUCUCUGUGGCAGAUUGAGACAUGUCUGUGUCUUCAGCCCUACAGUGGAUGACGAGGAGGAGAUGCUCUAUGGGGACUCAGGCUCCCUCUUCAGCCCCAGCAAAGAGGAGGCCCGGAGGAGCAGCCAGCCCCCUGCUGACCGAGACCCUGCACCCUUUCGGGCAGAGCCCACCCACUGGUGCCUGCUGGUGCGAGAGAACGGCACCAUGGAGGUAGGUGCACACAUGUGGCUCAGCAGCCCUGGCAGCAUGGCAGGCCCUAUCGUCACUGACUGCUGUCCCCCACCAGAUCUACCAGCUUCCAGACUGGCGGCUGGUGUUCCUGGUGAAGAACUUCCCUGUGGGGCAGCGGGUCCUGGUGGACAGUUCCUUUGGACAGCCUACCACGCAGGGUGAGGCCCGCAAGGAAGAGGCCACGCGCCAGGGGGAGCUGCCCCUGGUCAAGGAGGUGCUGCUGGUUGCUCUGGGGAGUCGCCAGAGCAGGCCCUACCUGCUGGUGAGCCCUUUGGUGCCUGCCCAGAGGCUGGGACCUGCCCUCACAGCCCAGCCCAUUCCUCCACUCUGUCCUCGGGGCCCAGCCCCACCUCGUGGCCCACCCUGUCUCACUUCCAGGUGCAUGUGGACCAGGAGCUGCUUAUCUAUGAGGCUUUUCCCCAUGACUCUCAGCUUGGCCAGGGCAAUCUCAAAGUUCGCUUCAAGAAGGUGCAGCUGCUAGACCCUUUUGGGGUGGGUUGGGAGGGGUCCAGGCUACAGGGUCUGAAGGGCCUGGCGUUCAUCAACACCUUCACCAGGUCCCCCACAACAUCAAUUUCCGUGAAAAGAAGGCAAAACCCUCCAAGAAGAAGGCAGAAGGUGGCAGUGUGGAGGAGGGUUCUGGGGCCCGGGGACGUGUGGCACGUUUCCGCUACUUCGAGGACAUUUAUGGCUAUUCUGGGGUAGGCAGGCAGCUUUGUUUGGGCUUGGGGGUAGGGGAACAGGACCUUGCCCACAUGUUCUCACAGUGUCUGUCUCCAGGUGUUCAUCUGUGGCCCCUCACCCCACUGGCUCCUAGUGACUGGCCGGGGGGCUCUGCGGCUGCACCCCAUGGGCAUCGAUGGCCCCAUCGACUCCUUCGCCCCAUUCCACAAUGUCAAUUGUCCCCGAGGCUUUCUGUAUUUCAACAGACAGGUAGGAAGGUUAACUCUGGCCGCACCACAAGCACUGGUACUGCCCUGGCAAAGCUAGGCGCUAGGGACAGGAGGGCUCCUCAGCUGCAGCACAUCCCAGAGGACCAGGGAUGACUAUCUAGAGGAGGGUAGGGCCCAGGAGGUGGGAUCUGGGGCUUGAGGCUGGAGCAGUUGGCAGUGGAGGCCUGGCUGAUGGGGCAUACCCUGAAAGCCCUUGCCUCAUCUGUGACACCCACAUGGCAGCAAUGACCACCUGAGUCACUGACAGACUCUGGUGUUGAGUGCUUCCAAGGGGCUAAUGCACUCAGGACUGGACAGAAGCUGAGGCUGGGGCUGGCAGGGUCUCCCUCUGCCUGUGUUCUUCAGUCCCUGGCAUGGCCAGUCUCAGUCAUGUGGCUUUUAGUCUCUAGUGUCCUCUGGGCUUGGACUCCCAUGCCCUGUGCUGUAUUCCCCAGCCAGAAGGAUGGACAGGAGCCUACUGAUAGAAGGCAUGGGGACUGACGACCAAGGCUACAGCUCUUCCAGACCUUCCCCAGACUCGGUGACCCUAGCCAGGCAGUAGCGAGGCCUGCAGCCCUAGGCCUUGCUGACUAUUUCCACCCACCCCAGGGUGAGCUGCGGAUCAGUGUCCUGCCUGCCUACUUGUCCUACGAUGCCCCAUGGCCCGUCAGGAAGAUCCCACUGCGCUGCACGGCUCACUAUGUGGCUUACCAUGUGGAGUCCAAGGUCUGUCCCCUCCCCCAGCACUCCCUCCCCCAGGCACCCCAGGCGUGUGACACCAUUCAACUCCUAGGUGUACGCCGUGGCCACCAGCACCAAUACACCCUGCACCCGCAUCCCGCGCAUGACUGGUGAGGAAAAGGAGUUUGAGGCCAUUGAGAGAGGUAUGUGCCACCAGGGGUGGGGUGGACCAUGCCCAGGGCUGGCUACGACCACUGCCUCCUUGUCCCUGCAGAUGACAGGUACAUCCACCCCCAACAGGAGGCCUUCUCCAUCCAGCUCAUCUCCCCAGUCAGCUGGGAGGCCAUUCCCAAUGCCAGGUGAUGUUGGGCCCAGUGGGGGCUUCCGGGUGCCAGCAGGGCAGGACUAGGGUGUCCUGAUACAGCCUGUCCUUGUGCAGAAUUGAGCUGGAGGAAUGGGAACACGUCACAUGCAUGAAGACAGUGUCGCUGCGCAGUGAGGAGACUGUGUCGGGCCUCAAGGGCUAUGUGGCUGCUGGGACCUGCCUCAUGCAGGGAGAGGAGGUCACGUGCCGCGGGCGGGUAAGCAGCUGCCAGGUGGGGACAGGCGGCCCUUGGCAGCCUGUCUGCCAUCCCCACAUGUUCCCUUGCCCUGCCAGAUCCUCAUCAUGGACGUGAUUGAGGUGGUGCCCGAACCUGGCCAGCCCCUAACCAAGAACAAGUUCAAGGUCCUAUACGAAAAGGAACAGAAGGGGCCUGUGACCGCCCUGUGCCACUGCAAUGGUCACCUGGUGUCAGCCAUUGGCCAGAAGGUACACAGCUACUCCUCCCUGCUGUGUUUCUGCCUGCUCACCCUGCCCACUCCACUGACCCUUCUGCCCCCUAGAUCUUCCUGUGGAGCCUGCGGGCCAGUGAGCUGACGGGCAUGGCCUUCAUCGACACCCAGCUGUACAUCCACCAGAUGAUCAGCGUCAAGAACUUCAUCUUAGCUGCAGAUGUCAUGAAGAGCAUCUCACUGCUGCGCUACCAAGAAGAGAGCAAGACGCUGAGCCUGGUGUCCCGGGUACUUCAUGUGGUCUUGGGGUACAGGUGAGAGUCAUACUCGGGCUCCUCCUGACACCUUCUGCUCCCUGACAACAGGAUGCCAAGCCUCUGGAGGUGUACAGUGUGGACUUCAUGGUGGACAAUGCCCAGCUGGGCUUUUUGGGUGAGUAGGGUCUUGGGGGAGUGUCACCCUGGGGGUGGCUGGAGCUGACUCUGGGUCUUUGCUCCCUAGUGUCUGACCGAGACCGCAACCUCAUGGUGUACAUGUACCUGCCAGAAGGUCAGUGGCUCCCUCCCUCACUUGUUUUUUUCAAUGUUUUUUAGUAGUUGAUGGACCUCUAUUUAUUUGUAUGUGGUGCUGAGAGUCGAACCCAGUGCAUCACACAUGCUAGACAAGCUAUCACUGAGCCACAACCCCAGCCCUCCCUCCCUCACUUCUACUCCGGCUGGGUAUUGGGCACUGGGUGGGCAGUGAUCUGAGUUCUUCUGUCCUAGCCAAGGAGAGCUUUGGGGGCAUGCGCCUGCUGCGCAGGGCAGACUUCCACGUGGGUGCCCACGUGAACACGUUCUGGAGAACGCCAUGCAGGGGGGCCACUGAGGGGCCCAGCAAGAAGUCGGUGGUGUGGGAGAACAAGCACAUCACGUGGUUUGGUGAGUGGGGUGGGGUAACUGAGCUCACUGCCCCCUCGAGCCACACUGGAUGACUAGGGGGUUGACCUGGCUCACGCUUCCCCCCAUCCCCAGCCACACUGGAUGGCGGCAUCGGGCUCCUGCUGCCCAUGCAGGAGAAGACCUACCGGAGGCUGCUGAUGCUGCAGAACGCACUGACCACCAUGUUGCCCCACCAUGCUGGUCUCAACCCCCGUGCCUUCCGGUGAGCACCCACCAUCCUCAGGGCUCUGCCUACCCUCCCAGGUUGCCCUGACCCCCCACACCCCCUCCCCAGGAUGUUGCAUGUGGACCGGCGCAUCCUACAGAACGCAGUGCGCAACGUGCUUGACGGAGAGCUGCUCAACCGCUACCUGUACCUCAGCACUAUGGAGCGUGGGGAGCUGGCCAAGAAGAUUGGCACGACCCCAGACAUUGUGAGUUGGCCUGCUUUCCCCCGCCCAUCCUGUCCCUGCCCUGCUGAGCCCUGCCCUGACGGCUUUCACCCUACAGAUCCUUGAUGACCUGCUGGAGACUGACCGUGUCACCGCCCACUUCUAAGCAUGUGGAUGCCACCCUGCCCCCGCACACUGCCUCCCCCCACCUUUUGUACAAAACAAGGAAAAC
RNAcentral lists this long non-coding RNA (4871 nucleotides) under Marmota monax (woodchuck). Lineage: Eukaryota; Metazoa; Chordata; Mammalia; Rodentia; Sciuridae. The record is from RNAcentral.